CCUACGGGAGGCAGCAGUGAGGAAUAUUGGUCAAUGGACGCAAGUCUGAACCAGCCAUGCCGCGUGCAGGAUGACGGCUCUAUGAGUUGUAAACUGCUUUUGUACGAGGGUAAACCCCGAUACGUGUAUCGGGUUGAAAGUAUCGUACGAAUAAGGAUCGGCUAACUCCGUGCCAGCAGCCGCGGUAAUACGGAGGAUCCGAGCGUUAUCCGGAUUUAUUGGGUUUAAAGGGUGCGCAGGCGGGCCUUUAAGCCGGCGGGGAAAUCUCGGGGCUCAACCCCGCCGAGCCGUCGGG
RNAcentral lists this ribosomal RNA (295 nucleotides) under uncultured bacterium. RNAcentral describes it as "partial 16S ribosomal RNA". It matches the Rfam family "Bacterial small subunit ribosomal RNA", at positions 338 to 631 of the family's 1533-position model. The record is from RNAcentral.